Long non-coding RNA from Myotis lucifugus (little brown bat), 830 nucleotides. RefSeq lists it as uncharacterized. The record is from RefSeq and is a predicted model, not a curated record. The transcript is spliced from 2 exons. Lineage: Eukaryota; Metazoa; Chordata; Mammalia; Chiroptera; Vespertilionidae.
UAGUCUGAGUGGAGAGAAACCCCGGACCCGUCAGUCCCCAGGUAGCUCCAGUGAAUGGCAUUUACAACAACCACACAACUGCUGAGACCAUUUGACUCCCUUAGUCUCCUGAGUUCCCUGGGAGCAAUGGACCCCGUCACUUGCAGCCAUGGGCCCUAAGCUGUUGAUGUAAUAACUUAGCGUCCGGUGGCAGAGGUGAGGUGAUGUAACCAGGAGGCUGUGCUGGGGCUCAUGGGAAGAACCAGUUUUGCUCCCUAGCAGAUGGCUUCUCGUGCUGCUGUUACUUAACGUUUAUAUCCUGUGCAGGCUGAGUCCCCUCAACUUCAUAGCACAGAGCCUUCUGCAUAAAAUUCUAGAGAAAGUGAGUCAUGUCAGGUAUCCAGCAUGAAGACCCAGGCGGAGGGCAGCCAUCAGCGAAUCGGGUGCAGACUGAAGUCCUGGUCCCUCCCACUGCCCUGUCAUCCCUGCCUCAGGUGCUCCCUGAGAGCCAGCCGCAGGACCCUGCACAGGGGCUGCAAAGCUGCCUCGGUUUAUAAAGACUGAGCUGGCUGCUCAAGUCACAGAGUCCCUCCCACUAGAAGUGGAAGAGUCUACUCCUAACUGAAAACCCGAAUGAAUGAAUCAAGGACAGUGCGUCACAUCGGCAGAUCUCGAGGAACGAUUUCUGUUGGAGGGAAAAGAAGUUGGUUAUUGUGUUGCCUGAAAGAAGCAUCUCGCAUGAUCUUACACGAAUGCUGAAGGAACUUACCGGUACGUCUGCAUCGCCUGUCAAUUAACCAAAUAAAACAGGUCGCCUAUCAAUUAACCAAAUAAAACAGGUCUGAGCCUCC